CUUACCAGGGUUUGAGAAGCAGUAGAGAGAGAAAAGAACAUGCUGGGAAUAGGAGAAAAGGAAAAGACAGUUCUAUGCUGAGGUGAAAAAAGGAGUAGUUGGAGUCCGCCCUGUGACGCCAUCAGGGUGACAGCGCUGGUAUCUGUUGAUCUCUCCAGAAGAGAAAUCUCUAUCAGGAGAAGACAGCAAGUCCACAGAUGAAGCCCAAAUCUUCUUUUUGGGAAGCACAUCAAUGACAGGGACAACCUUUUUUUGUGGGCCAUCGCCUUUGAGCUGAGCUACUCAAGCGCAAAUAUGAAUAAUAUCCGUGCAGAGAAUACCAAGCAAUAUGCCAUACAACAUGCAGACUGUUACAGACUCUAG
This is a non-coding RNA of Heterocephalus glaber (naked mole-rat), 363 nucleotides long. Lineage: Eukaryota; Metazoa; Chordata; Mammalia; Rodentia; Bathyergidae. The record is from RefSeq and is a predicted model, not a curated record.